Molecule: long non-coding RNA, 496 nt
Organism: Tachysurus fulvidraco (yellow catfish)
Lineage: Eukaryota; Metazoa; Chordata; Actinopteri; Siluriformes; Bagridae
Exons: 3
Source: RefSeq, a predicted model, not a curated record
UGACGACCCAAACAUCCCAUCCUAAUGACGACCCAAACUUUACUGAUGGUCUAAAUGAAGUUAUAUUGAUCCUUGAUAACUCCAACAGAUCACAGCGUUGGGACUUGACAUCAUCAGCGGGCGACGUUGCGUAAACAGGAAGCUACAAAUGGCACAGAUGGACAAACAGCUUCUGCUCGUUCAGAUCAACCAGAAACUGAAGGAUCAUUUGAGGAGAGAACAUCACAGUGAAAUGGUGUAAACAACCAGAUGGAGUCGUGUUUCACAAGCUGAAAGAAUGAAAUAAUACUCAGUAGUAAAUAAAGUCUGAGCUCUAAAUCUGAAUUUGUAAGUUAUCUUUAGAUAACUGCUCAUUUUGGACGAACUGUUAAGCUGUUAUAUUUACUAUAUUAGCAUCAUUUGUUAAAUCUCUUUCUAUAAGUCUUCAGAAAAUAUCUUGUGAGCAGAUGUAGGCAGUUUUUUUUAUAUUAUUUUAUCAUUUUAUUUGUAUAUUUUG